GGGAAUUCCGGAGUUUACACUCCCAAACCCAUGUGAACAUACCUACUGUUGCUUCGGCGGGAUUGCCCCGGGCGCCUCGUGCGCCCCGGAUCAGGCGCCCGCCUAGGAAACUUAACUCUUGUUUUAUUUUGGAAUCUUCUGAGUAGUUUUUACAAAUAAAUAAAAACUUUCAACAACGGAUCUCUUGGUUCUGGCAUCGAUGAAGAACGCAGCGAAAUGCGAUAAGUAAUGUGAAUUGCAGAAUUCAGUGAAUCAUCGAAUCUUUGAACGCACAUUGCGCCCGCCAGUAUUCUGGCGGGCAUGCCUGUCUGAGCGUCAUUUCAACCCUCAUGCCCCUAGGGCGUGGUGUUGGGGAUCGGCCAAAGCCCGCGAGGGACGGCCGGCCCCUAAAUCUAGUGGCGGACCCGUCGUGGCCUCCUCUGCGAAGUAGUAAUAUUCCGCAUCGGACAGCGACGAGCCCCUGCCGUUAAACCCCCAACUUUCCAAGGUUGACCUCAGAUCAGGUAGGAAUACCCGCUGAACUUAAGCAUAUCAAAAGCCCGGAGGAA
This 548-nucleotide ribosomal RNA is filed under the name Clonostachys rosea. RNAcentral describes it as "eukaryotic LSU rRNA". The stretch from base 165 to 318 matches the Rfam family "5.8S ribosomal RNA". Lineage: Eukaryota; Fungi; Ascomycota; Sordariomycetes; Hypocreales; Bionectriaceae. The record is from RNAcentral.